GUGAAUCAUCGAAUCUUUGAACGCACCUUGCGCCCUUUGGUAUUCCGAAGGGUACGCCCGUUUGAGUGUCAUUGUAAUCUCACUACGAUCGACUUUUUGUCCUUUGUAUGUGGACUUGGAUGUUGCCGUGUAACAAACGGCUCGUCUGAAAUGCCUGAGUGUACCCUGCUUUUGCAGCGUAUUCGGUGUGAUAAAUCUUUACCGGAGUUGACUUUUCAAGUCACGCUUGUAGCUGUAGGCUCUAUGCUUCCAACUGUCCAACAAGACAAUCUUUGACAAUUUGACCUCAAAUCGGGUGGGACUACCCGCUGAACUUAAGCAUAUCAAUAAGCGGAGG
This 337-nucleotide ribosomal RNA is filed under the name uncultured Sebacinaceae. RNAcentral's name for it is "eukaryotic LSU rRNA". The stretch from base 1 to 71 matches the Rfam family "5.8S ribosomal RNA", at positions 84 to 154 of the family's 154-position model. The record is from RNAcentral. Lineage: Eukaryota; Fungi; Basidiomycota; Agaricomycetes; Sebacinales; Sebacinaceae.